GGACGAACGCUGGCGGCGUGCUUAACACAUGCAAGUCGAACGGUGAAGGGAAGCUUGCUUCCCGGAUCAGUGGCGAACGGGUGAGUAACACGUGGGCAAUCUGCCCCAGACUUUGGGAUAACUACUCGAAAGAGUAGCUAAUACCGAAUAUUCAGCCUUGCAGGCAUCUGCGAGGCUGGAAAGUUUCUCGGUCUGGGAUGAGCCCGCGGCCUAUCAGCUAGUUGGUGAGGUAAUGGCUCACCAAGGCGACGACGGGUAGCCGGCCUGAGAGGGCGACCGGCCACACUGGGACUGAGACACGGCCCAGACUCCUACGGGAGGCAGCAGUGGGGAAUAUUGCGCAAUGGGCGAAAGCCUGACGCAGCAACGCCGCGUGCGGGAUGAAGGCCCUCGGGUUGUAAACCGCUUUCAGCAGGGAAGAAGCGAAAGUGACGGUACCUGCAGAAGAAGCACCGGCUAACUACGUG
RNAcentral lists this ribosomal RNA (467 nucleotides) under uncultured bacterium. RNAcentral describes it as "bacterial SSU rRNA". It matches the Rfam family "Bacterial small subunit ribosomal RNA", at positions 27 to 507 of the family's 1533-position model. The record is from RNAcentral.